UGAUUUCCUGUCUUGGAGAUUAGGAUGGGAAUGCAAAUGGGAAUGGUUUUCUUCUUCUUGACUCAGAGUUCAAUGUGAAAAGGCAUGCAAUGGGAUUGCAUCAAGCAAUAGCAAUCUCCAUGGAAUAUUGUGUAGCUUACAAUGUAGAAGCAUCAAAUGAUGGAUACUACAACACAAUUGUUCUAGGAGUUAAUAGAAAGCCUACUGGAAAGCUUGAUUCAAAUGGAGCUACUGCAGCUAGUUUGGUUGCCUUGGAACAUGAACUACUUCCAAGGAAUGCUCCUGGGUUUCUGGAAAGAGCUGCG
This is a long non-coding RNA of Nymphaea colorata (pocket water lily), 305 nucleotides long. RefSeq lists it as uncharacterized. The record is from RefSeq and is a predicted model, not a curated record. The transcript is spliced from 3 exons. Lineage: Eukaryota; Viridiplantae; Streptophyta; Magnoliopsida; Nymphaeales; Nymphaeaceae.